CAGUCGCCGCGGUAAUACGGAGGGUGCAAGCGUUAAUCGGAAUUACUGGGCGUAAAGCGCACGCAGGCGGUCUGACAAGUCAGAUGUGAAAUCCCCGGGCUUAACCUGGGAACUGCAUUUGAAACUGUCAGGCUGGAGUCUUGUAGAGGGGGGUGGAAUUCCAGGUGUAGCGGUGAAAUGCGUAGAGAUCUGGAGGAAUACCGGUGGCGAAGGCGGCCCCCUGGACAAAGACUGACACUCAGGUGCGAAAGCGUGGGGAGCAAACAGGAUUAGAUACCCCUGUAGUCCCUGUCUCUUAUAC
Molecule: ribosomal RNA, 301 nt
Filed under: uncultured bacterium
Lineage: Bacteria
Description: partial 16S ribosomal RNA
Rfam family: Bacterial small subunit ribosomal RNA
Source: RNAcentral